GACGAACCGUACGAACGUUAUUCGGAAUCACUGGGCUUAAAGGGUGCGUAGGCGGCGCGACAAGUUGGGUGUGAAAUCCCUCGGCUCAACCGAGGAACUGCGCCCAAAACUGUCGUGCUCGAGGGAGACAGAGGUGAGCGGAACUUAGGGUGGAGCGGUGAAAUGCGUUGAUAUCCUAAGGAACACCGGUGGCGAAAGCGGCUCACUGGGUCUCGUCUGACGCUGAGGCACGAAAGCUAGGGUAGCGAACGGG
RNAcentral lists this ribosomal RNA (253 nucleotides) under uncultured bacterium. RNAcentral describes it as "partial 16S ribosomal RNA". It matches the Rfam family "Bacterial small subunit ribosomal RNA", at positions 524 to 776 of the family's 1533-position model. The record is from RNAcentral.